Molecule: unclassified non-coding RNA, 265 nt
Filed under: Hevea brasiliensis (rubber tree)
Lineage: Eukaryota; Viridiplantae; Streptophyta; Magnoliopsida; Malpighiales; Euphorbiaceae
Source: RNAcentral
AAAGCUGGGGCAGAAAAUCGUAGCCAAGUGUGGGGGACUUCCACUGGCGAUCCAGAGAAUAGGAGUCUUACUGGGAUCAUCAUUUCAUAUUGAUAAUUGGAAUGAAAGCUGGAUAAACUNNNNNNNNNNACAUCACAAAAGAAAAUAAAGUAACGACUUCUCUGCAUCUAAGCUACAAGGCACUCCCGCCCUAUCUGAGGCAAUGCCUCUUGUGUUUCUGUAUUUACCCUGAAGAAAUACAAGCUGAAAAGUUAAUCCAUUGGUG